RNAcentral lists this ribosomal RNA (437 nucleotides) under uncultured archaeon. RNAcentral describes it as "bacterial SSU rRNA". It matches the Rfam family "Archaeal small subunit ribosomal RNA", at positions 345 to 811 of the family's 1478-position model. The record is from RNAcentral.
AACCUCCGCAAUGCGAGCAAUCGCGACGGGGGGACCCCAAGUGCCACUUUAACGGGGUGGCUUUUCUUAAGUGCUUUUGGAUAAGGGCUGGCAAGACCGGUGCCAGCCGCCGCGGUAACACCGGCAGCUCUAGUGGUAGCCAUUUUUAUUGGGCCUAAAGCGUUCGUAGCCGGUUUGAUAAGUCUCUGGUGAAAUCCUAUAGCUUAACCGUUGGGCUUCAUGGGAUACUACAUUGCUUGGGGACGGGAGAGGUAGGAGGUACUCGGGGGGUAGGAGUGAAAUCCUGUAAUCCUUUGGGGACCACCGGGGGCGAAGGCGUCCUACCAGAACAGUCCGACGGUAGGGGACGAAAGCUAGGGGGGAGACCGGGAUUAGAUACCCGGGUAGUCCUAGCCGUAAACGAUGCGGACUUGGUGUUGGACAGUGCCGAAGGGAAG